This 586-nucleotide ribosomal RNA is filed under the name uncultured bacterium. RNAcentral's name for it is "bacterial SSU rRNA". It matches the Rfam family "Bacterial small subunit ribosomal RNA", at positions 338 to 916 of the family's 1533-position model. The record is from RNAcentral.
CCUACGGGAGGCAGCAGUGGGGAAUUUUGGACAAUGGGCGAAAGCCUGAUCCAGCCAUACCGCGUGCGGGAAGAAGGCCUUCGGGUUGUAAACCGCUUUUGUCAGGGAAGAAAUGCUUCGGGCUAAUACCCUGGGGUGAUGACGGUACCUGAAGAAUAAGCACCGGCUAACUACGUGCCAGCAGCCGCGGUAAUACGUAGGGUGCAAGCGUUAAUCGGAAUUACUGGGCGUAAAGCGUGCGCAGGCGGUUCUAUAAGACAGAUGUGAAAUCCCCGGGCUCAACCUGGGAACUGCAUUUGUGACUGUAGAGCUAGAGUACGGUAGAGGGGGAUGGAAUUCCGCGUGUAGCAGUGAAAUGCGUAGAUAUGCGGAGGAACACCGAUGGCGAAGGCAAUCCCCCUGGACCUGUACUGACGCUCAUGCACGAAAGCGUGGGGAGCAAACAGGAUUAGAUACCCUGGUAGUCCACGCCCUAAACGAUGUCAACUGGUUGUUGGGAGGGUUUCUUCUCAGUAACGAAGCUAACGCGUGAAGUUGACCGCCUGGGGAGUACGGCCGCAAGGUUGAAACUCAAAUGAAUUGACGG